RNAcentral lists this unclassified non-coding RNA (214 nucleotides) under Hevea brasiliensis (rubber tree). The record is from RNAcentral. Lineage: Eukaryota; Viridiplantae; Streptophyta; Magnoliopsida; Malpighiales; Euphorbiaceae.
GACACUCUUGAGUGUAUUUUCUCUUUUGAAAUUCCUGUAUUAAAUUCUUCUUCUGUGAUUGUUCUUCUCCUUGUUCUACUUCUGUGAAAUUCUAGCUUGUAACAUAUUGGCUUGAGAGGAAGAAGAAGAAUAAAAAGAAAAAAUAGGAGGAAACAAAGCUAUGAGAGUAAGAAGCGAAGAAAAUGAUGGGUAUGUGGCAUUUUCUGGGUUUGUG